AUUGAACGCUGGCGGCAUGCCUUACACAUGCAAGUCGAACGGCAGCACGGGUGCUUGCACCUGGUGGCGAGUGGCGAACGGGUGAGUAAUACAUCGGAACAUGUCCUGUAGUGGGGGAUAGCCCGGCGAAAGCCGGAUUAAUACCCCAUACGAUCCACGUAUGACAGCGGGGGACCUUCGGCCUCUCGCUAUAGGGUUGGCCGAUGGCUGAUUAGCUAGUUGGUGGGGUAAAGGCCUACCAAGGCGACUAUCAGUAGCUGGUCUGAGAGGACGACCAGCCACACUGGGACUGAGACACGGCCCAGACUCCUACGGGAGGCAGCAGUGUGGAAUUUUGGACAAAGGGCGAAAGCCUGAUCCAGCAAUGCCGCGUGUGUGAAGAAGGCCUUCGGGUUGUAAAGCACUUUUGUCCGGAAAGAAAUCCUUGACUCUAAUACAGUCGGGGGAUGACGGUACCGGAAGAAUAAGCACCGGCUAACUACGUG
Molecule: ribosomal RNA, 485 nt
Filed under: uncultured bacterium
Lineage: Bacteria
Description: partial 16S ribosomal RNA
Rfam family: Bacterial small subunit ribosomal RNA
Source: RNAcentral